This 473-nucleotide ribosomal RNA is filed under the name uncultured Rhodoferax sp. Its description in RNAcentral is "bacterial SSU rRNA". It matches the Rfam family "Bacterial small subunit ribosomal RNA", at positions 907 to 1382 of the family's 1533-position model. The record is from RNAcentral. Lineage: Bacteria; Pseudomonadati; Pseudomonadota; Betaproteobacteria; Burkholderiales; Comamonadaceae.
UGAAUUGACGGGACCGCACAAGCGGUGGAUGAUGUGGUUAAUUCGAUGCAACGCGAAAAACCUUACCCACCUUUGACAUGUACGGAACCCUUUAGAGAUAGAGGGGUGCUCGAAAGAGAGCCGUAACACAGGUGCUGCAUGGCUGUCGUCAGCUCGUGUCGUGAGAUGUUGGGUUAAGUCCCGCAACGAGCGCAACCCUUGUCAUUAGUUGCUACAUUCAGUUGGGCACUCUAAUGAGACUGCCGGUGACAAGCCGGAGGAAGGUGGGGAUGACGUCAAGUCCUCAUGGCCCUUAUAGGUGGGGCUACACACGUCAUACAAUGGCUGGUACAAAGGGUUGCCAACCCGCGAGGGGGAGCCAAUCCCAUAAAGCCAGUCGUAGUCCGGAUCGUAGUCUGCAACUCGACUACGUGAAGUCGGAAUCGCUAGUAAUCGUGGAUCAGAAUGUCACGGUGAAUACGUUCCCGGGUCUU